Poecilia latipinna (sailfin molly) is the source of this 347-nucleotide long non-coding RNA. RefSeq lists it as uncharacterized. Lineage: Eukaryota; Metazoa; Chordata; Actinopteri; Cyprinodontiformes; Poeciliidae. The transcript is spliced from 3 exons. The record is from RefSeq and is a predicted model, not a curated record.
CGCUUUUCAGACCACUUAGUCUCCUGUACCGCUCAAAAAUGCACAAUAUGUGUGUAAAUAAUUUUAGGAUAUAAGGAAGUGCUGAGAUAUACCGUGUUAAAAGUCCACCUGUGCGUUCUAGAACUACAAUACCCAUGAUGCAUCUUUGUUUUUGUAGUUCGACUUUCACGUAGAUGAGAAAGUUAUUUUCUGUGUGGCUCGGUGGCAUAAAAAAUCCAUCAACGGAUAGCAUCCACCAUCAAUCCUUCUUUAAUCCCGUGUGUAUGAGACCUGUGUGCGUUUUUAUUAUGCAAGUAUACAUUUUUCUGCCCGAUAUUUGGGUUUAUGUCAUGAAAUAAAGUUAUACA